GACGAACGCUGGCGGCGUGCCUAAUACAUGCAAGUCGAGCGAAUGACGAGAAGCUUGCUUCUCUGAUUUAGCGGCGGACGGGUGAGUAACACGUGGGCAACCUGCCCUACAGAUCGGGAUAACUCAGGGAAACCUGGGCUAAUACAGGAUAAUCCUUCGAAUCACAUGUUUUGAAGUUGAAAGGCGAUUCGGCCUCACUGUAGGAUGGCCCGCGGUGCAUUAGCUAGUUGGUGGGGUAACGGCCUACCAAGGCAACGAUGCAUAGCCGACCUGAGAGGGUGAUCGGCCACAUUGGGACUGAGACACGGCCCAAACUCCUACGGGAGGCAGCAGUAGGGAAUCUUCCACAAUGGACGAAAGUCUGAUGGAGCAACGCCGCGUGAGUGAUGAAGGUUUUCGGAUCGUAAAACUCUGUUGUAAGGGAAGAACAAGUACGUUAGGAAAUGAACGUACCUUGACGGUACCUUAUUAGAAAGCCACGGCUAACUACGUGCCAGCCGCCGCGGUAA
This 509-nucleotide ribosomal RNA is filed under the name uncultured bacterium. RNAcentral's name for it is "partial 16S ribosomal RNA". It matches the Rfam family "Bacterial small subunit ribosomal RNA", at positions 28 to 523 of the family's 1533-position model. The record is from RNAcentral.